This 250-nucleotide ribosomal RNA is filed under the name uncultured bacterium. RNAcentral's name for it is "partial 16S ribosomal RNA". It matches the Rfam family "Bacterial small subunit ribosomal RNA", at positions 524 to 771 of the family's 1533-position model. The record is from RNAcentral.
UACGAGGGGGUGCAAGCGUUGCUCGGAAUUAUUGGGCGUAAAGGGUAGGUAGGUGGUCUCAUUUGUCGGGGGUGAAAGCCUUGUGCUUAACACAAGAAGUGCCCCCGAAACGGUGAGACUCGAGUCUUGGAGAGGGUUGCGGAAGUUCCCGGUGUAGCGGUGAAUGCGUAGAUAUCGGGAAGAACACCAAAGGCGAAAGCACUUUGCUGGGCCGAAACGUGACACUGAUAGACGAAAGCUAGGGGAGCAA